AUGCCCAUACUGAAGUUAAGCUACAAACACCUGUCGCCUGAAAUGAAGCAAUGCUUUGCAUUCUGUGCACUUUUCCCCAAGGAUUAUGAGAUGCGUAAGGAUAUGUUGAUCCAACUAUGGAUGGCAAAUGGCUUUAUUCAAGAAGAGGAAACAAUGGAUUUAACAAAGAAAGGAGAAUUCAUUUUUCAAGAAUUGCUUUGGAGGUCCUUCCUGCAAGAAGUGAAAGUCAAAUAUGGUAUCUAUUAUGGUGGCAUAGAAUAUGAGACAAUAGUUUGUAAAAUGCAUGACUUGAUGCAUGAUUUGGCCAGAGAUGUCACCAAUGAAUGUGUCACCAUAGAAGAAUUGAUGGAACAGAAAGCAUUGGUAAAAAAUGCUCGUCACCUGCACUUGUCAAAGGUUAAAUUGGAAAAUAAAUGUCAGGUGUUCGAUGAAAAAACAUCUCUCCGCACUUUGUUAGAUACUUCAAGGACACACGAGGAUUUGAAAUGGCUACCCCAUGUAUCAUUACGAGCACUGCAGAGUGUUUGCACCAGUUUCAUUGACAAAAAUGCAAACCAUUUACGGUAUCUUGACCUCUCCACUUGUACCGUUGAUGCUAGAUUGUUACAUUCAAUAUGUCUAUUGUAUAACCUGCAAACAUUGAGGCUCAAUGAUUGCUCUGAGCUACAACAGUUACCAGUAGACAUGAUGGUAAGCCUGGGAAAGCUCAUACAUCUUUAUCUUUUUGGAUGUCAUAAGUUGGAGCGGAUGCCUCGAAACAUUGGUCAGCUGAACAACCUUCACACUCUAACAACAUUUAUUGUGGAUACUAGAGCUGGUUGUGGUAUUGAGGAGCUCAAAGGCUUGCAACACCUUACCAAUAGGCUGGAACUGUACAAUUUGAGAAAAAUUAAGAGUGUAAAGGAUGCAAAAGAAGCCAAUAUCCAUCAGAAGCAAAAACUGAGUGAGUUAUUGUUCUCUUGGGGCCUUGGAAGAUAUGACAAUCCUGAAAAUGAGGCUUGCAACGAGAAGGAAGUGCUCCAGUCUCUAGAACCUCAUAGCGAGAUGCAAAUUUUGGAGUUAUAUGGAUAUGGUGGCCUAGAAAUACCAAAAUGGAUGAGCGACCAACAGAUGUUUUAUUGCUUACGAAAACUCAUAAUUUUGAACUGGACAAGGUGUAAGAAUAUACCUGCAGUAUGGUUGUCACCCUCACUGGAGUACUUAUCCUUGCGCAACAUGGGUCAACUGAAGACAUUAUGUGAUAACCUUCGCAUAGAAGGUGGAGGACGCAGUACCCCUCUACAGUUUUUUCCAAAGUUGAAGAAGAUAGUUUUGGGACAUCUACGUAGUCUAGAGGGAUGGGCAGAGAACAGUGCGGGAGUGACAUUCCCGGUGCUCGAGGAGGUAGAAAUCCUCAUGUGCUCUAAGCUUCGAAGUAUUCCACUGAGCCCCGUUCUCAAAGUCCUGAACAUAUCGGAUUAUCACCUGGAGAUGGAGAUACAGGAUAUUCCAAGGUUGCCUACAUCCCUUGAAAUUUUGCGGAUUCAGUGCUUUGGAGGUUUGGUGGCGCUGCCUUCAAACCUUGGAGAUCUGGCAAAGCUGAGGGAGCUACUGGUGCAUAGCUGCAGGAGGCUGAAAGAGUUGCCUGAUGGGAUGGAUGGCCUCACUUCUCUUCGGAAAUUGACAAUCACUCAUUGUCCAGGGAUAGAGAAAUUCCCGAAUGGUCUCCUUGAGCGGUUGCCAGCCCUUGAAUCCCUACGCAUAGUGGGCUGCCCCGAGUUGCAAAGACGAUGGAGAGAAGGAGGGGAGUAUUUCAACCACUUGGUCCAUAUCCCAUAUAAAUACAUUGAAGCAGAAUCAGAAGCAAAAUAA
This 1851-nucleotide ribosomal RNA is filed under the name Triticum aestivum (bread wheat). RNAcentral's name for it is "partial small subunit ribosomal RNA". The record is from RNAcentral. Lineage: Eukaryota; Viridiplantae; Streptophyta; Magnoliopsida; Poales; Poaceae.